CCCUUAGAUGUUCUGGGCCGCACGCGCGCUACACUGAUGCAUUCAACGAGUUUCUUCCUGGUCCGAGAGGAAUGGGUAACCUUUUGAAAGUGCAUCGUGAUAGGGAUAGACUAUUGCAAUUAUUGGUCUUCAACGAGGAAUUCCUAGUAGACGUAGUUCAUCAGACUGCAUCGAUUACGUCCCUGCCCUUUGUACACACCGCCCGUCGCUCCUACCGAUUGAAUGCUCAGGUGAGCCAUUCGGACUUUCAUCAUGCUGGUUUCCAGUUUUGAUGAAGGAAAGUCUUGCGAACCUUAUCAUUUAGAGGAAGGAGAAGUCGUAACU
This 324-nucleotide ribosomal RNA is filed under the name uncultured eukaryote. RNAcentral describes it as "partial 18S ribosomal RNA". It matches the Rfam family "Eukaryotic small subunit ribosomal RNA", at positions 1470 to 1796 of the family's 1831-position model. The record is from RNAcentral.